This 2905-nucleotide ribosomal RNA is filed under the name Klebsiella michiganensis. RNAcentral describes it as "23S ribosomal RNA". It matches the Rfam family "Bacterial large subunit ribosomal RNA". The record is from RNAcentral. Lineage: Bacteria; Pseudomonadati; Pseudomonadota; Gammaproteobacteria; Enterobacterales; Enterobacteriaceae.
GGUUAAGCGACUAAGCGUACACGGUGGAUGCCCUGGCAGUCAGAGGCGAUGAAGGACGUGCUAAUCUGCGAAAAGCGUCGGUAAGGUGAUAUGAACCGUUACAGCCGGCGAUGUCCGAAUGGGGAAACCCAGUGCAAUUCGUUGCACUAUCGUUUGAUGAAUACAUAGUCAAACGAGGCGAACCGGGGGAACUGAAACAUCUAAGUACCCCGAGGAAAAGAAAUCAACCGAGAUUCCCCCAGUAGCGGCGAGCGAACGGGGAGCAGCCCGGAGUCUGAAUCAGCUUGUGUGUUAGUGGAAGCGUCUGGAAAGUCGCAGGGUACAGGGUGAUACUCCCGUACACUAAAACGCACAGGUUGUGAACUCGAAGAGUAGGGCGGGACACGUGGUAUCCUGUCUGAAUAUGGGGGGACCAUCCUCCAAGGCUAAAUACUCCUGACUGACCGAUAGUGAACCAGUACCGUGAGGGAAAGGCGAAAAGAACCCCGGCGAGGGGAGUGAAAAAGAACCUGAAACCGUGUACGUACAAGCAGUAGGAGCCCACUAGUUGGGUGACUGCGUACCUUUUGUAUAAUGGGUCAGCGACUUAUAUUCUGUAGCAAGGUUAACCGUAUAGGGGAGCCGCAGGGAAACCGAGUCUUAACUGGGCGUUAAGUUGCAGGGUAUAGACCCGAAACCCGGUGAUCUAGCCAUGGGCAGGUUGAAGGUUGGGUAACACUAACUGGAGGACCGAACCGACUAAUGUUGAAAAAUUAGCGGAUGACUUGUGGCUGGGGGUGAAAGGCCAAUCAAACCGGGAGAUAGCUGGUUCUCCCCGAAAGCUAUUUAGGUAGCGCCUCGUGAAUUCAUCUUCGGGGGUAGAGCACUGUUUCGGCUAGGGGGUCAUCCCGACUUACCAACCCGAUGCAAACUACGAAUACCGAAGAAUGUUAUCACGGGAGACACACGGCGGGUGCUAACGUCCGUCGUGAAGAGGGAAACAACCCAGACCGCCAGCUAAGGUCCCAAAGUCAUGGUUAAGUGGGAAACGAUGUGGGAAGGCCCAGACAGCCAGGAUGUUGGCUUAGAAGCAGCCAUCAUUUAAAGAAAGCGUAAUAGCUCACUGGUCGAGUCGGCCUGCGCGGAAGAUGUAACGGGGCUAAACCAUGCACCGAAGCUGCGGCAGCGACGCUUAUGCGUUGUUGGGUAGGGGAGCGUUCUGUAAGCCGUUGAAGGUGGCCUGUGAGGGUUGCUGGAGGUAUCAGAAGUGCGAAUGCUGACAUAAGUAACGAUAAUGCGGGUGAAAAACCCGCACGCCGGAAGACCAAGGGUUCCUGUCCAACGUUAAUCGGGGCAGGGUGAGUCGACCCCUAAGGCGAGGCCGAAAGGCGUAGUCGAUGGGAAACAGGUUAAUAUUCCUGUACUCGGUGUUACUGCGAAGGGGGACGGAGAAGGCUAUGUUGGCCGGGCGACGGUUGUCCCGGUUUAAGCAUGUAGGCGGAUGUUCCAGGUAAAUCCGGAACGUUAUUAACGCUGAGGUGUGAUGACGAGGCACUACGGUGCUGAAGUGACAAAUGCCCUGCUUCCAGGAAAAGCCUCUAAGCAUCAGGUAACAUCAAAUCGUACCCCAAACCGACACAGGUGGUCAGGUAGAGAAUACCAAGGCGCUUGAGAGAACUCGGGUGAAGGAACUAGGCAAAAUGGUGCCGUAACUUCGGGAGAAGGCACGCUGAUGGUAGGUGAAGCGACUUGCUCGUGGAGCUGAAAUCAGUCGAAGAUACCAGCUGGCUGCAACUGUUUAUUAAAAACACAGCACUGUGCAAACACGAAAGUGGACGUAUACGGUGUGACGCCUGCCCGGUGCCGGAAGGUUAAUUGAUGGGGUUAUCCGUAAGGAGAAGCUCUUGAUCGAAGCCCCGGUAAACGGCGGCCGUAACUAUAACGGUCCUAAGGUAGCGAAAUUCCUUGUCGGGUAAGUUCCGACCUGCACGAAUGGCGUAAUGAUGGCCAGGCUGUCUCCACCCGAGACUCAGUGAAAUUGAACUCGCUGUGAAGAUGCAGUGUACCCGCGGCAAGACGGAAAGACCCCGUGAACCUUUACUAUAGCUUGACACUGAACACUGGUCCUUGAUGUGUAGGAUAGGUGGGAGGCUUUGAAGUGUGGACGCCAGUCUGCAUGGAGCCAUCCUUGAAAUACCACCCUUUAAUGGCUGGUGUUCUAACGUGGGCCCGUAAUCCGGGUUGCGGACAGUGUCUGGUGGGUAGUUUGACUGGGGCGGUCUCCUCCUAAAGAGUAACGGAGGAGCACGAAGGUCAGCUAAUCCUGGUCGGACAUCAGGAGGUUAGUGCAAUGGCAUAAGCUGGCUUGACUGCGAGCGUGACGGCGCGAGCAGGUGCGAAAGCAGGUCAUAGUGAUCCGGUGGUUCUGAAUGGAAGGGCCAUCGCUCAACGGAUAAAAGGUACUCCGGGGAUAACAGGCUGAUACCGCCCAAGAGUUCAUAUCGACGGCGGUGUUUGGCACCUCGAUGUCGGCUCAUCACAUCCUGGGGCUGAAGUAGGUCCCAAGGGUAUGGCUGUUCGCCAUUUAAAGUGGUACGCGAGCUGGGUUUAGAACGUCGUGAGACAGUUCGGUCCCUAUCUGCCGUGGGCGCUGGAGAAUUGAGGGGGCUGCUCCUAGUACGAGAGGACCGGAGUGGACGCAUCACUGGUGUUCGGGUUGUCAUGCCAAUGGCAUUGCCCGGUAGCUAAAUGCGGAAGAGAUAAGUGCUGAAAGCAUCUAAGCACGAAACUUGCCCCGAGAUGAGUUCUCCCUGACUCCUUGAGAGUCCUGAAGGAACGUUGAAGACGACGACGUUGAUAGGCCGGGUGUGUAAGCGCAGCGAUGCGUUGAGCUAACCGGUACUAAUGAACCGUGAGGCUUAACCUU